UUGCACGCUGGCGGCAGGCCUCACCCAUGCAAGUCGAGCGGAUGAAGGGAGCUUGCUCCUGGAUUCAGCGGCGGACGGGUGAGUAAUGCCUAGGAAUCUGCCUGGUAGUGGGGGAUAACGUCCGGAAACGGGCGCUAAUACCGCAUACGUCCUGAGGGAGAAAGUGGGGGAUCUUCGGACCUCACGCUAUCAGAUGAGCCUAGGUCGGAUUAGCUAGUUGGUGGGGUAAAGGCCUACCAAGGCGACGAUCCGUAACUGGUCUGAGAGGAUGAUCAGUCACACUGGAACUGAGACACGGUCCAGACUCCUACGGGAGGCAGCAGUGGGGAAUAUUGGACAAUGGGCGAAAGCCUGAUCCAGCCAUGCCGCGUGUGUGAAGAAGGUCUUCGGAUUGUAAAGCACUUUAAGUUGGGAGGAAGGGCAGUAAGUUAAUACCUUGCUGUUUUGACGUUACCAACAGAAUAAGCACCGGCUAACUUCGU
RNAcentral lists this ribosomal RNA (482 nucleotides) under uncultured bacterium. RNAcentral's name for it is "partial 16S ribosomal RNA". It matches the Rfam family "Bacterial small subunit ribosomal RNA", at positions 30 to 506 of the family's 1533-position model. The record is from RNAcentral.